This 825-nucleotide ribosomal RNA is filed under the name Polyommatus elvira. Its description in RNAcentral is "eukaryotic LSU rRNA". It matches the Rfam family "Eukaryotic large subunit ribosomal RNA", at positions 406 to 944 of the family's 3401-position model. Lineage: Eukaryota; Metazoa; Arthropoda; Insecta; Lepidoptera; Lycaenidae. The record is from RNAcentral.
CGUUCAGGGGUAAACCUGCGAAACUCGAAUGAACGAACGGAGAGAUUCAUCGUCAUUCGGCGGCGUACGGGCGUGCGCCUCGAUGCGUGUCUAUCGUUUCGGCGAUGCGGCGCGCACGGGACUCGUCCGUCGACGUCCGCCGACGGCGUGCACUUCUCUCUUAGUAAUGCAUCGCGACCCGUUCGGGGUCGGCCUAAGCGCCUCUCGGGAGUCCGUCGGCUAGCGUCUCGGCGCUCGCCGGCGUACCGGGUCGGGUUGCCGGCCGGCCGUUGCGGACGGUAUGAAUGAUGGUUAAUAAUACGCUUCAAUGCGAACCGCGCACGCGUUUUAAGCGCGUCCGGCCCGACGCAAGCUAGCGUCCCGGCGGAUGUCCUGCCUCAGUGCGGACGUACGUCGGUCGUUGCUGUCUGUCGCCGCCGUGCAGUCUCGGACUGUGCGCGUCUCUGUCUGCGAUGAUUCUGUUUCGGGCACUCGCAGGACCCGUCUUGAAACACGGACCAAGGAGUCUAGCAUGUGUGCGAGUCAUUGGGUUCGACUCAAAAAGACAAAACUGAAAGGCGCAACGAAAGUGAAGGCGCGCGCUUGUCGCGCGCUCAGGGAGGAUGGAGCGUCGGUCUCGGUCGGCCUCUCGCACUCCCUAGGCGUCUCGUUUCCAAUCUGUGAAUGCGGGCGCGCUAUGAGCGCAGAUGCUGGGACCCGAAAGAUGGUGAACUAUGCCUGGUCAGGUCGAAGUCAGGGGAAACCCUGAUGGAGGACCGUAGCGAUUCUGACGUGCAAAUCGAUCGUCGGAACUGGGUAUAGGGGCGAAAGACUAAUCGAACCAUC